GCAUAGGUAGCUUAAAUGUUAAAGCAUCAGUCUUGUAAUCUGAAUAAUAAGGAUUGAAAUUCCUUCCAAUGCU
RNAcentral lists this transfer RNA (73 nucleotides) under Fundulopanchax filamentosus. RNAcentral describes it as "tRNA-Thr". It matches the Rfam family "tRNA". From Rfam's summary of the family: Transfer RNA (tRNA) molecules are approximately 80 nucleotides in length. Their secondary structure includes four short double-helical elements and three loops (D, anti-codon, and T loops). Further hydrogen bonds mediate the characteristic L-shaped molecular structure. tRNAs have two regions of fundamental functional importance: the anti-codon, which is responsible for specific mRNA codon recognition, and the 3' end, to which the tRNAs corresponding amino acid is attached (by aminoacyl-tRNA synthetases). tRNAs cope with the degeneracy of the genetic code in two manners: having more than one tRNA (with a specific anti-codon) for a particular amino acid; and 'wobble' base-pairing, i.e. permitting non-standard base-pairing at the 3rd anti-codon position. Lineage: Eukaryota; Metazoa; Chordata; Actinopteri; Cyprinodontiformes; Nothobranchiidae. The record is from RNAcentral.